RNAcentral lists this transfer RNA (77 nucleotides) under Pleodorina starrii. Its description in RNAcentral is "tRNA-Ile". Lineage: Eukaryota; Viridiplantae; Chlorophyta; Chlorophyceae; Chlamydomonadales; Volvocaceae. The record is from RNAcentral.
GGCCUUCUAGCUCAGUUGGUUAGACGCGUGGUGCUAAUAACGCCAAGGUCAUCAGUUCGAUCCUGAUGAAGGCAACA